UACAGAGGGGGCAAGCGUUGUUCGGAAUUACUGGGCGUAAAGGGCGCGUAGGCGGCCUGUUAAGUCGAACGUGAAAUCCCCGGGCUCAACCCGGGAACUGCGUCCGAUACUGGCAGGCUUGAAUCCGGGAGAGGGAUGCGGAAUUCCAGGUGUAGCGGUGAAAUGCGUAGAUAUCUGGAGGAACACCGGUGGCGAAGGCAGCCCCCUGGGUUAACACUGACGCUCAUGCACGAAAGCGUGGGGAGCAAACAGG
RNAcentral lists this ribosomal RNA (253 nucleotides) under uncultured bacterium. Its description in RNAcentral is "partial 16S ribosomal RNA". It matches the Rfam family "Bacterial small subunit ribosomal RNA", at positions 524 to 776 of the family's 1533-position model. The record is from RNAcentral.